AAAUACAAAAAAGGAAAGAUAAGAUAAAAAGUAAAAGACAGAAGAUAAAAGUGGCGGUUAAUUGGUGAAGACAAAUAUAUCGAUAGUAAUGUCUCGACAGCAAAGGCAAGAAAAUUGGAGGGAAUCUUAUUUGUUACUCUCUCCCUCUCUCUCUCGCUUUCUCUCGCUUGCAAUUUAUUUAAACCGUUUUCCUUAUCAUGGUGACGAAAAUGUUUAACCUUUUAUCGGUAAAUUAAUCAUCUUGCCAGUAAAUUGUUAGCCAAUAAGAAAUGAGAUUAGAAACUAACUGACAAAAAUGGAAAGUCGCAUCGACGAAAUUGUUUUAACUUGUGUGUGAAAAAUCAAAAAUAAAUUCUCAUUUGAAAUGAAUAAAAAUGAAACAUCUUCAAUAACUCUUUUGCUACCUCAUUAUUUUAAUUUCUAUCUCUUAUUUUUUGGUAAGUUGAUUUAGUUUUACUGUCAUUGCUGAUUUGUCCAUCAAUCUUACUCUUCGGAUGAUCAUUUUCAGGCUACAAUGUUCCUUAUGAUACAACCAGCCUGCUUCCAAUGGGAAAAUGAUACUUUCAACCAGCCAAAAGGGAUAUGUUGAGAGCGAAAGAAGUAAGCAAAAUAGAUUAAAAGGAAAAGAUUGAUUAAUCUGGAAACAUCAUCUACAAAUCGUGAUCACAAGCGAAUAACCAACACAAAAAAGGUUAUAAAGACAUGCUGCUGGCUUUUUUUGUGGCUAGUCACCAUCAUUAUCAUCCUAAUCAUAAUCGACAACAACAAAAAAACCUCCUGAUGAACCCAAUGAGAUGCUGAAAAAUGGAAAGUUCAAUUUUUUUCUGAUUGGGUUAAGAGGUGAAUAUUUACGGAUGGACCGAAGCAGACCUUACAAAAGGUGCAUCUCAACCAAGUUGAAUUUCAUUUUGAAUGGCAAAAAAGGACAAUGCUGUUUGAAAAUGGGGAUAGAUGGGAAAUUGAAACAAAGAAAGGUCUGGUAAAAAGUAUAUCAUCAAGCAAACAAAGCGAAGCAAUAAUGAAUCGUGAGAGAAGUGUUGACAACUUGUAUUUUGAAAGACUAUCAUCUUCAUCAACAUCAGACCGAUCAAUUUCAUGAUGAAAUGUAAUGAGACCUGUUACAUACCUCAAAGCGAUCAUCACUACCAUUAUUCCUCGGUGAAAAAUUGUGGGCGAUAAAACAAUAUUAGCCAUUCAUUCAAAAAUUACUUUUCAUGAUUUGAAUGAUGAAUAUAUAAAUACAUUUUUUGCAUCAAACUAGCCCACAAAAAAAGAUGAAUUUCUUGACUGUUCUCAAAAAGUUAUCUACAUGUAUUAGGUGAUUUUGAAGAAGCAAAAAGAUGAAAGGAAAAGGGAACGAAAAGGAAAACAGAAAGCAACGUCAGAAAAUGAAAAUGGUAGGAGUUGAUGGACAUAAAGGUUGACCCUAAGCGUACUCUUCAACUAUCUGUCAAUUUAGUCAACAUCAAUUAUGAUAACAACAACAACGUGAACAACAUCGCCAACAAUAGUACAUCUAAUAAUGAGAAUAAUAACGACAAGUUGAAAAGGAAAACCCAAAUGAGAGUCAAAAUUAGCCUCACAACGUUGAAAUGAAAAGCAAAAUAAGGAUGAACUCAUAAGUCGCAAAGUAUUGGAUUUUUUAGGACAAGAUCACAAAUAUAACAAAUAAAUUCAAAUUAAGAUAACUUGGUUGAAACUAAAAUCAUUGAAAACGCUGAAAAAACAUAAUGACGAGACUGAUAAGUUAAAUAUGAUGAAUAGAGAGGAAAGUCAAUAAAAAGAAUAGACAAAAAAGAAGAAAAAUAUUCAAGAAAUCAUGAUGGUAAUUAUGAUGAAAGAAAAAGCUGAUAAUGUUCCAGGAAGAAAAGGAGCCUGAAUUCAUGCCACAAGUGGAAGCUUGUACUGAAAACUGCGUACGAUGGGUCAAUAUUUUAUCGUAGACUAAAUGUUUGGCUAUCAUACAUUUUCGUGAGUUGAUUGUUAGCAUCAUUGCCAGUUUUAUGGACAUCAAGAGAAACGAGUUCAACAAGACAAUCAUAUUGCUUGGGAGCGAGAGAAUAACAAAUAACUUUAGGAAGAAGAAUGAAAAUGGUAAGA
Molecule: non-coding RNA, 2100 nt
Organism: Tetranychus urticae (two-spotted spider mite)
Lineage: Eukaryota; Metazoa; Arthropoda; Arachnida; Trombidiformes; Tetranychidae
Source: RefSeq, a predicted model, not a curated record